GGCAGGAAGUGAUAUGGCAUUUUUGAGCACUGGAGAAGGCGUUUCAGUAAACACAGAGUCAGAGGUGCUGUUUGCCCGCAGGAAUUCACUGUGGCCUUCACACUGGCUGGCAGUUUCUCCUUCAUUCCCAGAGAUUGCAUCACUACCCAGAAGGAUGACAUGUGUUUUCCCUUUGAGGCAUGUGAUCCAAGAAAGAUUUCUGAGAAUGUGUCUCUGGUUGGAUCCAAUACUGACAUAAAAACGGUUGAACUUCCAGUUAUAGUACAAUCCCUGUACCCAUGGGGGAUAUGUUUCCAGACUUACCGUGGAAACAAAAAACCAAGGAUAAUAGAGAACCCUAUUGAAAUGAAGUUGACCACAGAGUUUCUCCUAGAGAGAACACAUCUCUAGGCAUUUCUAGGUCUUCCAGAGCAACUCUAAGGUCAACUUCCACUGGAAGCAUAUCAUAGAAAUGUGCUGGAGGACCUUGAAAAUAUAUAGAGAACAUAUGUUUUCAGAAGUGGGUAAGUGAAAGUAUGGAAAGUCCUGCCGAUAUAGGGUUCAUACUGUUAAUAAAAUGUUUUAUGUUUUGCAAGCUUGCACAAAGAGACACCUGAUACUUCACUCUGUAAGCAGUUAUUGCUAUUCAUUCAUGCAACACCAAAUGCCAGGCAAUAUGUGCUUAGCUGAAGGCUUAGGCAUAGUUCACCCCCCCCCCACAAGCCAAGAUGGCCAAUGACUGGCCCAAGGAGGAGGUUGGAAGUUUCCAGCUGGCCUUGCAGGUUUACUGCAUGCUAGAACUCUUUGCCCCACCUGCAGCAAGGGGAGACUGAUCUUCUUUCCUUCCUGGGCCCUUCACCAUUAUUACUUUGGAUCUCAGUCUUUGUGUUCAUUUGCAACACUUGGAAUUUCAGUGCAGGAUGUGGUCUUUUUAUGGAAACCACAAAUACUGUUAAUUCUUGGUAAUGAUGCUUCACCCUAUUGAAAGCUGUUAGCUGAAACCUGAGCAUUUAGCCUUAUUUUGAACUAUGAGAGGAUUCCUUUCUCCCCAUUUUAGGGUGGCUAUAUAUCCUGCUUUGCAAAUGACAACCCUCUAUUUGAAAUCAUUCUCUCAGUUGAUACACUGUCUAGUCCUCAAGCCUAGUUUAAAGAUAAAGAA
Sceloporus undulatus (fence lizard) is the source of this 1138-nucleotide long non-coding RNA. RefSeq lists it as uncharacterized. The record is from RefSeq and is a predicted model, not a curated record. Lineage: Eukaryota; Metazoa; Chordata; Lepidosauria; Squamata; Phrynosomatidae. The transcript is spliced from 3 exons.